UGAGGAACAUGACCUUCGGCGGGGGAUAGCCGGCCCAACGGCCGGGUAAUACCGCGUACGACCACAUGGGGACAUCCCUGAGUGGUGAAAGCAGCAAUGCGCCGAUGGAGUGCCUCGCGGCCUAUCAGCUAGUUGGUGUGGGUAAUGGCCCACCAAGGCGACGACGGGUAGCCGGCCUGAGAGGGUGACCGGCCACACUGGGACUGAGACACGGCCCAGACUCCUACGGGAGGNAG
Molecule: ribosomal RNA, 236 nt
Filed under: uncultured bacterium
Lineage: Bacteria
Description: partial 16S ribosomal RNA
Rfam family: Bacterial small subunit ribosomal RNA
Source: RNAcentral